UUAAACCCUAAACUGAACUUUUCCAUCCAGUCAGCAUUAGGGUUUUAUACCCUAAACUGAACUUUUUCUUUCAGUCAGCAUUAGGGUUUUAAACCCUAAACUGAACUUUUCCUUUAAUCUGCAUUAGGGUUUUAAACCCUAAACUAAACUUUUCCUUUCAGUCAGCAUUAGGGUUUUAAACCCUAAACUGAACUUUUCCUUUCAGUCAGCAUUAGGGUUUUAAACCCUAAACUGAACCUUCCCAGCCAGUCAGCAUUAAGGUUUUAAACCCUAAACUGAACUUUUUCCUUUAAUCAGCCUUAGGGUUUUAAACCCUAAACUAAACUUUUCCUUUAGUCAGCAUUAGGGCCCCGACCCUAAACUGAACUUUUCCCCAGUUGGUCAGUAUUAGAGUUUCAACCUUUAAACUGAACUUCUCCCCAGCUAGUCGGUAUUAGGGCUCCAAACCU
RNAcentral lists this long non-coding RNA (449 nucleotides) under Nicotiana tabacum (common tobacco). Its description in RNAcentral is "long non-coding RNA (NTAB_LNC008734)". Lineage: Eukaryota; Viridiplantae; Streptophyta; Magnoliopsida; Solanales; Solanaceae. The record is from RNAcentral.